AGCGAACGCUGGCGGCAGGCUUAACACAUGCAAGUCGAACGCCCCUUCGGGGGAGUGGCAGACGGGUGAGUAACACGUGGGAACAUGCCUUUCGGUUCGGAAUAACUCAUGGAAACGUGAGCUAAUACCGGAUACGCCCUUAUGGGGAAAGAUUUAUUGCCGAAAGAUUGGCCCGCGUCUGAUUAGCUAGUUGGUGAGGUAAUGGCUCACCAAGGCGACGAUCAGUAGCUGGUCUGAGAGGAUGAUCAGCCACACUGGGACUGAGACACGGCCCAGACUCCUACGGGAGGCAGCAGUGGGGAAUAUUGGACAAUGGGCGCAAGCCUGAUCCAGCCAUGCCGCGUGAGUGAUGAAGGCCUUAGGGUUGUAAAGCUCUUUUGUCCGGGAAGAUAAUGACUGUACCGGAAGAAUAAGCCCCGGCUAACUUCGUGCCAGCAGCCGCGGUAAUACGAAGGGGGCUAGCGUUGCUCGGAAUUACUGGGCGUAAAGGGCGCGUAGGCGGACGAUUAAGUCAGGGGUGAAAUCCCGAGGCUCAACCUCGGAAUUGCCCUUGAUACUGGUUGUCUUGAGACCGGAAGAGGUAAGUGGAAUUGCGAGUGUAGAGGUGAAAUUCGUAGAUAUUCGCAAGAACACCAGUGGCGAAGGCGACUUACUGGUCCGGAUCUGACGCUGAGGCGCGAAAGCGUGGGGAGCAAACAGG
This 700-nucleotide ribosomal RNA is filed under the name uncultured Beijerinckiaceae bacterium. RNAcentral describes it as "bacterial SSU rRNA". It matches the Rfam family "Bacterial small subunit ribosomal RNA", at positions 28 to 776 of the family's 1533-position model. The record is from RNAcentral. Lineage: Bacteria; Pseudomonadati; Pseudomonadota; Alphaproteobacteria; Hyphomicrobiales; Beijerinckiaceae.